Molecule: non-coding RNA, 1941 nt
Organism: Oryza sativa Japonica Group (Japanese rice)
Lineage: Eukaryota; Viridiplantae; Streptophyta; Magnoliopsida; Poales; Poaceae
Source: RefSeq, a predicted model, not a curated record
CCGCCUCCACCCCCACCCCCAGCAAGCAGUCCCGCACACCCCACCCCCUCCUUUUGGUUGCUCCUCCUCAUAGUAACCUGUUUACUAUACAGUCACCCGUCGGCGACGGGCGGUCGAGCGGCGGGCGGCCUCCGGCUUUUGCUUCCUCGGCGUGCCGGGUGGUAGGCGGUGGCGAUGGUGCGCCAGAUCCGAUCUCAACGCCUCCGAAUGGCAGUGGCUGGAUAACCCCUGAUUUUUUACUCCAAUCGGAGGGGUGUGUUGCGGCCCUAGCAAUUUGCCGGCGUUGUCAAGGCUCCCCUCCAUGAACGGCAGCUCCAUCUCCGCGUAGGCCCAUGUCAAGAGGCGCUGGAGGCAGAUCGACGGCCUGAUGAUAGCGCAUGUCUCCAAUGCCAGAGAUCCCUCACUCAUUCGCUGCCUGGAGUACUGGAGGCCUGGUCAAUGCAGCUGAGGGCUCCUCCGCCGGCAGUGGGGAUGCCACCAGAUGUCAGCCUUGUGGCUGUCUGCUUGGAGUGUCAAUGUCGAAGAGGAGGAGCUUCAUUCUUUUUUGUUUGAUUUUCAAUUUCGUGCUCCAAUGAUCUGCAGCUCAUCCCUAUCUCGAUGAUUACAUCUUCUCCCCGCAGUGAGUAUUUCCGGCAGCGAUUUCUUCUGUGUUCCUACGCCUAAUAGAGAUUUUUGGAAUCGGGGAAUUAGUACUAAUAUUUCCGUUUGAUUCCACACCAGCCCAUUCAGAGUCAAUUUGUGAUGACCAAGUGGAGCCCCUUUCGUCUACUGUAGUUUGCGCAGUACCUCUCAGCUGAAUCAGGAUGUUUUUUUCAUUAGAUUUUUUUUCUCCAUUCUGCAAGCGAUUCGACCCUAACUCCAACAAUUCAACUAAUAUAAAUGGGUACACGAGCAAUGGUGAAUGAGCUCCUCUAAAACCAGAUUAGGUCUACAAAAUUCCUGCAUGUGUUUUUUUUUUCAUUCUGAACAUAGCACUAUGCAAUCAAUAUCAUGGAUUUAAGUUAAUUCACAUAUAUAUUGGUUUAGAUUUAGUCAGGUUUCGUGCAGGAGAUCAAAAGAGGGAUUAUGAGUGGAUUCAAAGGUUUAGUGUUGAGGAAUCCAGAACACACUGUAGGCUACUGUCCCUAAUUGUUGCUGCGGCUUCAAAUAGCAAGUUUAUCUUUGAGAAUAAUCAUGACACCAGCACCAGAAGAACCCAGAAAAACCAUGAGAUUCUUGUUAGUGAGCAAUAUCAUUCUGGUAGUACUGUUUACUUUCUGUUUUUUUCAAAUAUCAUAUCUCCUGUAACUGAUUUGUACUAAUGCUUGUUUAGCUUUCUUGAUUCGAGCCCUGCUUUGCCUUGUGUAUUGAAGUUCACUCACUACAUAAAAAGCACAAUAACUGAAGAUAAUUUGCUUCUAAUCAUGUCAUGCAUACAUCUUCACUGAAAUUCUACAGGGCGCUAUGGAUAGAUGAUGGACGGGCAUGACCCAAUUAUGGGUGCACUGGAAUGUUGCUUUCUCUUGUGGAAUACUCUGUAAAAUUGAGCUUGACUACCUAUUAAUUGUUUUUGGUGGUGCUGCCCAAUAAUAUUGUGUCAUUUGUCCAAUUCAUUCUAUUUUAUGAACUACUAUCAUUGACAGGCUACUAUAUUUAUUGCCUGAAAUGUUUAUUAUGGAGAUGCACAUGCCUAAAAUGUUUUCAUGAUAUGCAUUGUGUUUGCGUUUGUUUCAGACGGAAUGUUGAGAACCAUCGAUGUAAUAGUAAUUUAGUUACUAAGAGAUAGUAUGUUUGAGAACCAUCGGUGUAAUAUUGACUUUGUUACUAAGAAAUUUGAUAGCAAGAUUAAUAUGUUAUGUUGAGAACCAUUGGUGUAAUUAAGUUACUAAGAGACAAAAUAUUGAGAACCAUCAGUGUAACAGUAACUUGGUUACUAAGAGAAAUUUUGUGGCAAGAUCAAUA